CUACGGAAGGUCCGGGCGUUAUCCGGAUUUAUUGGGUUUAAAGGGAGCGCAGGCGGAGAUGCAAGCGUGACGUCAAAUUUCGGGGCUCAACCCCGUCUCGCGUCGCGAACUGCGUCCCUUGGUUGCGGGAAGGGGAGGCGGAACUCGUGGUGGAGCGGGGAAAUGCAUAGAUAUCACGAAGAACUCCGAUCGCGAAGGCAGCCUUCCGGCCCGUCAACGACGCUCAUGCUCGAAGGUGCGGGUAUCAAACAGGAUUAGAUACCCUGGUAGUCCGCACAGUAAACGAUGGACACCCGCGGUUUGGCCUGUAUGGCUGAGCCGCCAAGCGAAAGCGUUAAGUGUCCCACCUGGGGAGUACGCCGGCAACGGUGAAACUCAAAGGAAUUGACGGGG
Molecule: ribosomal RNA, 393 nt
Filed under: uncultured bacterium
Lineage: Bacteria
Description: partial 16S ribosomal RNA
Rfam family: Bacterial small subunit ribosomal RNA
Source: RNAcentral